CAAGCAGCGGGCCGCCAGGGACGCUCCCUGGAGCGCGCUCAGGUGCAUCAGGCGCUGCUCCACAGCUGCUCCCCGGCCGCCUCGGGAAUGGGGCUCGGCUGAGGUCGCGGCUCUCCCGCCCGCAGGCUGGGGGGCGGGGCGGCCCCAGUCCCAUCCCCCGCGUCCCAUCCCCCAGCGCAGCCGGGCCUCCACAUCCUCCCGGCGUCUGUCCUCCCCGCGUUCCCCACGAGAGACAUGGCCGGGAGCAGUGAGAAGGCGCCAGACUCCGGGCGAGGCGUCGUGCUUAUGGAUAACUGGCCGGGAUAUGACUUGGAUUUAUUCACGUAUCCACAGCACUAUUAUGGCGAUCUGGAGUGUGUGCUCAUCCCUCAUGGCAUCAUAGUGGACAGAAUUGAGCGGCUGGCUAAAGAUAUAAUGAAAGACAUAGGCUACCAUGAUAUUCUGGUCCUGUGUGUGCUGAAAGGAGGUUACAAAUUCUGUGCUGAUCUUGUAGAACACCUUAAGAACAUCAGCCGAAAUUCAGAUCGAUUUGUCUCUAUGAAGGUGGACUUCAUCAGACUAAAAAGUUACAAGAACGACCAGUCCAUGGGUGAGAUGCAGAUCAUAGGAGGCGAGGAUCUUUCAACACUGGCUGGAAAGAAUGUCCUCAUUGUUGAGGACGUUGUUGGAACUGGGAGGACCAUGAGAGCACUGCUCAGCAGCAUCGAGAAAUACAAACCCAACAUGGUUAAGGUUGCCAGUUUGUUGGUGAAGAGAACAGCCCGAAGUGACAGCUUCAGACCUGACUAUGCUGGAUUUGAGAUCCCAGAUGUCUUUGUGGUGGGCUAUGCCUUAGACUACAAUGAGUACUUCCGAGACCUAAAUCACAUAUGUGUGAUCAAUGAACAUGGGAAAGGAAAAUACCGAAUAUGACGAAGCAAAAGUCCUCUUUCUCAGAUAACACGAUUCUUCUGCUCAGGAAGCCAGAGUGUAAAGUCCGUCUCCGUAGUAGCUAUCUUCACUCAGCCGGAUGGGAGGACCAGCUGGUUCCAGGAGGGAAGGAGAGGAUUGCGGAAGGGGUAACCGUGACCUCGUGCAGAAGUACGAAAGGAUGAGAAAAGGAAGCUCUUGAGGGAGCCUGCACGUUCACCUGGCGGCAGUCAGACUUCAGGGUUGCAUCCGAACCCUGAGUAGAGAAGGUACUCUCCUCUUUUACACAGCACGACAGCACCUGUGGGCAUGACAAGCAGUUACACAUCAGGACCCGAUGGGGUGUGCAGUGUGGGGAGAGGCAGGAACUGUGGAAAGACAGUCCACACCAGUCACAAAAGCCAUGCUCCGGAGGCUUCAUGCACUCCAGACACCACGCCCAGAGGAUCACGGGACAGGACUGUUGAUGGACAUGUGGAGGAAGCUCGGAGCAGACAGGAAGGAGCACUGCUGAGGUGCAGGCUGUCUGCGCUGCCUGAGACUGCUGAGGACACUGGGCUGGUCGGACUCCACGCUCACCCAGCCAGAAUCCUUGCUAAUGGUUGCGGUGGCCCCAGAAGUGGUUGUUUUUACCGAAAAGGCGUCUUUUUCUUACCUAUUCAAAGUUGGGUUGGUUGGGUUGUUCUUGAUGUAUGCGGUUUCCCAGCUGGAAGUGGAUGGCUUUUCCCACCAGAGCAGACUUCCCUCAGAAAUGAAAGGCAAACGUGAAGACAUGUAGACAUGAAAAGUUGGGGCAGAAUUCUACAUUUUCAAAGCGGGGGAAGUAAGCCUGAACUCACAUCACCAUGGCUUCAUUUGGGCAUGGGGGCGUCCGUCGAGACAGGGUUUCUCUGUGUAUCCCUGGAACUCACUACGUAGACCAGGCUGGCCUUGAACUCAGAGAUCCGCCUACCUCUGUCUCCCAAAUAUUGGGAUCUACCGCAUGGCUCCACGGCCUCACUUUUUAAGGAGAGCCUGGUGAGUGUUGAGUAGACUUCACUGUAAGUGAAGAAGGUUGAGUGCAGUAGGUUCACUUGAGAAACCUGGGUCAGAAGAGACAGAUGGUGGCGAUUUUCAAUAGACAGGGCGUGGGGUUGUGAUGUACCACAGUGGUGCUUAACCCCAAUAAAGAAAAAAAAAAUUAGAAAGGACAGGGAAGACGCUUGUGCUUUUUUGUUGUUUGCUUGUUUGUUUGUUUGCCACAGAGAGUAACACAAUCCAGAGAGAGGGAAUCAGUUGUUUAUUGCUUUGUAUGGUGGCUAGUUUUAUGUCAAUGAGCUGAGAGGUAAGAACCUCAAUUGAGAAAAUGCCUCCACAAGAUCCAGCUGUAGGGCAUUUUCUUAUUUAGUGAUUGAUGGGAGGACCCAGACCACGGUGGGUGGGCGGUGCCAUCCCUGGGCUGUGGUCCUGGGUUCUACAAGAAAGUGGGCUGAGCAAGCCAGUCAGUAGCCCUCCUCCACGGUCUCUGUAUCAGUUCCUGCCUCCAGGUUCCUGCCCUGUUUGAGUUCCUGUCCUGACUUCCUUCAAUGAUGGACAGUGAUGUAGACGCUUAAGCCAAAUAAACUCUUUCCUCCCCAA
Molecule: RNA transcript, 2526 nt
Organism: Peromyscus californicus insignis
Lineage: Eukaryota; Metazoa; Chordata; Mammalia; Rodentia; Cricetidae
Gene: Prtfdc1
Gene name: phosphoribosyl transferase domain containing 1
Exons: 10
Source: RefSeq, a predicted model, not a curated record